AUGUCUGGCAUAAAUUCUCUGAAACAUGGCUAUAUUUGGCGUGUGGGGAAUGGACAAAAUAUAAAUAUUUGGGAAGAUGCAUGGAUCCCAAAUUGUGAUACUAGAAAAGUUGUGACACCUAAGGGGGGACAACUGUUAACUAAGGUGGGUGAUUUGAUUGAUCCUGUUUCGAAUUCUUGGGACGAAGAUCUGAUUACACAAACAAUGUGGCCCAUUGAUGUUCAACGGAUUCUCUCAAUUCCAAUCUCACAACAUGAUAUGCCAGAUUUCAUUGCUUGGAGUUAUACGAAAAAUGGUAUGUUCUCGGUUUGGUCUGCUUAUUUUGUAGAGUGGGACCAUCAGUAUGGAAGUAGACUAAGACAUUCUAAUGGGAUGGGGCGAAGCACAAUUAAUCCUAUUUGGAGUAAGAUAUGGAAGUUAUCGUGUCCGGCAAAAGUCAAAAAAUUUAUAUGGCGUACAUUACAUGGAACGCUUCCAUGUCGGGUUACGCUCGCAAAUAGACAUAUGAAGGUCAUGCCCAUUUGCCCUACUUGCUCUGAGGGUUCUGAAGAUACAAAUCAUAUGUUUUUCCUUUGCAGUAGAGCAAAGGAGGUUUGGAAAAGGCUGGGGAUGGAUGAUAUCAUUGAUAAAGCUUGCAAGGUUGACCUUGCGGGAGAGGCGGUGCUGGAAUACCUACUACUUCUGCUAGAUCAAGAUUUGAGGAUAAUGGGUUAUCACAAUGUGCGUGAAAUGAUUGCUGUCUCAGCAUGGUAUCUAUGGUGGGAAAGACGAAAGUUAGUGCACAAGGAGACAACUCGAAUGCACUUCAGAUUUCAAUGGGGAUUCUAG
RNAcentral lists this ribosomal RNA (828 nucleotides) under Triticum aestivum (bread wheat). RNAcentral's name for it is "partial small subunit ribosomal RNA". Lineage: Eukaryota; Viridiplantae; Streptophyta; Magnoliopsida; Poales; Poaceae. The record is from RNAcentral.